RNAcentral lists this ribosomal RNA (810 nucleotides) under Chromolaenomyces appendiculatus. Its description in RNAcentral is "partial large subunit ribosomal RNA". It matches the Rfam family "Eukaryotic large subunit ribosomal RNA", at positions 91 to 918 of the family's 3401-position model. Lineage: Eukaryota; Fungi; Ascomycota; Dothideomycetes; Pleosporales; Thyridariaceae. The record is from RNAcentral.
GAGUGAAGCGGCAACAGCUCAAAUUUGAAAUCUGGCCCUUUCAGGGUCCGAGUUGUAAUUUGUAGAGGGUGCUUUGGCGUUGGUUGUGGUCUAAGUUCCUUGGAACAGGACGUCACAGAGGGUGAGAAUCCCGUACGUGGCCGCCAGCCUUCGCCGUGUAAAGCCCCUUCGACGAGUCGAGUUGUUUGGGAAUGCAGCUCUAAAUGGGAGAUAAAUUUCUUCUAAAGCUAAAUACCGGCCAGAGACCGAUAGCGCACAAGUAGAGUGAUCGAAAGAUGAAAAGCACUUUGGAAAGAGAGUCAAAAAGCACGUGAAAUUGUUGAAAGGGAAGCGCUUGCAGCCAGACGUGCCCGCAGUUGCUCACCCAGGCUCUCGCCUGGGGCACUCUUCUGCGGGCAGGCCAGCAUCAGUUCGGGCGGUUGGAUAAAGGUCACUUUCACGUAACUGGCCCUCGGGCUUGUCCUUAUAGAGGUGACGCAACACGGCCAGCCCGGACUGAGGACCGCGCAUCAGCUAGGAUGCUGGCGUAAUGGCUGUAAGCGGCCCGUCUUGAAACACGGACCAAGGAGUCUAACAUCUAUGCGAGUGUUUGGGUGUCAAGCCCGGGCGCGCAAUGAAAGUGAACGGAGGUGGGAACCUUUUAGGCGCACCAUCGACCGAUCCUGAAGUCUUCGGAUGGAUUUGAGUAAGAGCAUAGCUGUUGGGACCCGAAAGAUGGUGAACUAUACUUGGAUAGGGUGAAGCCAGGGGAAACCCUGGUGGAGGCUCGCAGCGGUUCUGACGUGCAAAUCGAUCGUCAAAUCUGGGUAU